RNAcentral lists this ribosomal RNA (427 nucleotides) under uncultured bacterium. RNAcentral describes it as "partial 16S ribosomal RNA". It matches the Rfam family "Bacterial small subunit ribosomal RNA", at positions 355 to 774 of the family's 1533-position model. The record is from RNAcentral.
UGGGGAAUAUUGGACAAUGGGCGAAAGCCUGAUCCAGCCAUGCCGCGUGUGUGAAGAAGGUCUUCGGAUUGUAAAGCACUUUAAGUUGGGAGGAAGGGCAUUAACCUAAUACGUUAGUGUUUUGACGUUACCGACAGAAUAAGCACCGGCUAACUCUGUGCCAGCAGCCGCGGUAAUACAGAGGGUGCAAGCGUUAAUCGGAAUUACUAGGCGUAAAGCGCGCGUAGGUGGUUUGUUAAGUUGGAUGUGAAAUCCCCGGGCUCAACCUGGGAACUGCAUUCAAAACUGACUGACUAGAGUAUGGUAGAGGGUGGUGGAAUUUCCUGUGUAGCGGUGAAAUGCGUAGAUAUAGGAAGGAACACCAGUGGCGAAGGCGACCACCUGGACUAAUACUGACACUGAGGUGCGAAAGCGUGGGGAGCAAACA